Molecule: ribosomal RNA, 460 nt
Filed under: uncultured bacterium
Lineage: Bacteria
Description: partial 16S ribosomal RNA
Rfam family: Bacterial small subunit ribosomal RNA
Source: RNAcentral
CCUACGGGAGGCAGCAGUGAGGAAUAUUGGUCAAUGGACGAGAGUCUGAACCAGCAAAGUAGCGUGAAGGAUGACUGCCCUAUGGGUUGUAAACUUCUUUUAUAUGGGAAUAAAAUGUUCCACGUGUGCGUUUUUGUAUUUACCCUAUGUAUAAGGAUCCGCUAACUCCGUUACUGCAGCCGCGCUAAUACGGAGGGUCCGAGCGUUGUCCGGAUUUAUUGGGUUUAAAGGGAGCGUAGGUGGUGUUUUAAGUCCGUUGUGAAAUUGUGCGGCUCAACCGUAGAAGUGCGUUUGAAACUGGGAGUCUUGAGUACGGUAGAGGUGGGCGGAAUUCGUGGUGUAGCGGUGAAAUGCUUAGAUAUCACGAAGAACUCCGAUUGCGAAGGCAGCUCACUGGACUGCAACUGACGCUGAGGCUCGAAAGUGUGGGUAUCAAACAGGAUUAGAUACCCGGGUAGUC